UGCGGCAGUUCAGCCUGAUCUCACCAGCGCUGCCGGUGAGCACGCCAAUGUUGCUCAUGCGUCGAAUCGCGUCUGCGAAUUUGGUUCGGAACGUACCCGGCUCGGCAUUGUCUGAGACCAUCGGUUGUGUCUCCGGGUCGCUCUGCAGGUUCUGAUCCGACGUGAGAAGCCCCUUGUUGACCUGCAGGUUUUUGUAGUACUCCGAGUCUAGAUUGGUGGGCGUCGUCACGUCCAGGUCCACAAGGUUGUUGGGUUUGUCUGCGGGGCACUGCCUCUUCAGCGACUCGGCGUAGUCGGGAUCCAUAUUGGCGUCAGAGGGAGUGGUGAGGCGAUUUC
This 336-nucleotide long non-coding RNA is filed under the name Physcomitrium patens. Its description in RNAcentral is "long non-coding RNA (PPAT_LNC011317)". Lineage: Eukaryota; Viridiplantae; Streptophyta; Bryopsida; Funariales; Funariaceae. The record is from RNAcentral.